Molecule: ribosomal RNA, 253 nt
Filed under: uncultured bacterium
Lineage: Bacteria
Description: partial 16S ribosomal RNA
Rfam family: Bacterial small subunit ribosomal RNA
Source: RNAcentral
UACAGAGGUCUCAAGCGUUGUUCGGAUUCAUUGGGCGUAAAGGGUGCGUAGGCGGCUGGGCAAGUCUGAUGUGAAAUCCCGGGGCUCAACCCCGGAACUGCACUGGAUACUGCCCUGCUAGAGAUCUGGAGAGGAAACUGGAAUUUACGGUGUAGCAGUGAAAUGCGUAGAUAUCGUAAGGAAGGCCAGUGGCGAAGGCGAGUUUCUGGACAGAUUCUGACGCUGAGGCACGAAGGCCAGGGGAGCAAACGGG